ACAGCAGAGACCCCGAUGUGGGGCUCAAACUCACAAACCGUGAGGUCGUGACCUGAGCCGAAGUCGGGCGCUGAACCGACUGAGCCAAAUAACCGCCAUUUUUGAACACUUCUCAUGGAGUCAGGCCAUCUCACUGCAUCCUUCCCUUGACGCUGUGAGAUGGGUACUAUUUCUGCCCCACUUCAAGGGGAGACACCGAGGCUCACACAAGUGAAAUAACUUGCCACCAACUACACAGCCAGUAAAUGGUGGGACCUAUUUGACGCCAAGCUGUAUUGCUUUUCAAUAGAAAAUAUGCCCAGUGUAAACUCGGUAACUCUUAGCGGCUGUUUACUAGUGGGAAACAAAUCUGUCUCAUUUGAUCAUGAGCAGUUAUUCAGAAUGACUCCCCUGAACCAAAGAAGACCGUUUCUACUGGCCAGUUCUCCCAAUGUCGUGGCUAGCGAGGAUAUGGAUACUCCAAAUUGCGUUUCUCUUCCAGAACGCCAAACAGAAGCUACCCAAACGCGCAUUAACUCACCUUCACGACAGAACAGAUCAUUUCACUCGGAGCUACAAAAACACCAGAGUGUUGGCGGGUGAGAGGCUAAGAGAAAAAUUACCAGGUGUACUCACAACUGCAAAGAAAAGAUCUUUCCCUUCCCCUGCCGUUCCUGAAACCAGCCAGGGCGCGCCCGGUCGUAGUCUGACAUAAAGGCGGGAACCAAUCAAGUUCUGCUGAAUGGUUUGAAAUAAAGGCGGGAACCAAUCAAGUUCUGCUGAGCGUUCAAAUUUAAAUGUCAGCCUAUAACAACUCUGUAACCUCAAAAAAAUCCCUAACUUGUUUGUGCCUGUCUAUAAAAGAAGCUGUAAGAUCCUUGCUCGGGGCCCCUUGCGUCACCGGCGGCGAGUGCGCGGAGGACCGGGUUCGAACCUGCAAUAAACGACCCUUGCUGCUUGGCUUUGACUCUGGACUCUGGUGGUUUGUUUUCGGGGGGUCUCUCGAAUCGGGGCAUAUCAACGGGUACUAUAAAAUCAUCUCGAUCACACUUGCCACCUCACAGCACCAUUACACUUUUACUCCUGCAUUUCCCCACGUGGCUGGGUGCUUUCCGAGGUCAGGGCCUGACUUACUCGUGGUGACCAGACCCUGGCCCCACACUGCGUUUGUUGAGUUAGUGAAUAAUACGCGAGCGCGCCCUGGAUCCCAACAUCUAUACACACUUUAUCUCCAUUCUCCCAGUAACUGUGGGUGGUAUAGGUUUUUGAGAUCCCCUUCUUCGUAGGAAGAGACGGGCGCUGGGGGAGAGCAAGUGACUGGCCCCAAGGUCACCCCCCCCCCCCCGGUAGACUGUAGUUCCAGGCUUCAUACUCAAGUCACAGGCUUCGAAGCCCCGUUUUCAUGCUUUUUGUAAUAAGGACCUCCAAGGUAAAGGUGUGCUGAACUCAGGAACUAGACUAGCCCUCAUGUCUACCAGCUCUGAACUGUCUUAUUACUAAGCAAAUUGAAUAGAGGAAAAUCGCAGCCUACACACCUUUAAUGUACAUGGAUUCAGUCACGUAUGGUGUAUGCACCUGCCCAGACCUGACCCUGUCCUGUAGCCCCUGCAAAUCCAGAAAAGACUUGACUGGAUGCGAAUCAACCCCUCAGAUGGUUGACGGUCCUUUCAAACGUUUUGGCAAGGGGAAAGGAACAACUACCCGGGAAACUCAACAUUUUGAGGCGAUCUACAGCUUGGUAAAUACCAAAAAGAGUGGAAACAGGGUGAUAAAAAGAAAUAUAAAUAGCCUCACCGUUAUCUGCAGCGUACAUUAUAACGCGGAACGGCGGCUGGUGGCUCUCUGUAGAAAACACAACCUCUUUGCAAUGUUUUGUUUGUGUUACUGUUUCUGUUAGUGUGAACGAAUUACAAAUAAAGACUCACUUCAAUAUUUA
Felis catus (domestic cat) is the source of this 1915-nucleotide long non-coding RNA. RefSeq lists it as uncharacterized. Lineage: Eukaryota; Metazoa; Chordata; Mammalia; Carnivora; Felidae. The record is from RefSeq and is a predicted model, not a curated record. The transcript is spliced from 2 exons.